RNAcentral lists this ribosomal RNA (253 nucleotides) under uncultured bacterium. RNAcentral's name for it is "partial 16S ribosomal RNA". It matches the Rfam family "Bacterial small subunit ribosomal RNA", at positions 524 to 776 of the family's 1533-position model. The record is from RNAcentral.
UACGGAGGGUGCAAGCGUUGUCCGGAAUCACUGGGCGUAAAGGGCGCGCAGGCGGUCUUCCAAGUCAGUGGUGAAAGCCCGGAGCUCAACUCCGGAAUUGCCAUUGAAACUGUUAGACUUGAGUACGAGAGAGGUGAGUGGAAUUCCCAGUGUAGAGGUGAAAUUCGUAGAUAUUGGGAAGAACACCAGUGGCGAAGGCGGCUCACUGGCUCGUAACUGACGCUCAGGCGCGACAGCGUGGGGAUCAAACAGG